Molecule: long non-coding RNA, 548 nt
Filed under: Numida meleagris (helmeted guineafowl)
Lineage: Eukaryota; Metazoa; Chordata; Aves; Galliformes; Numididae
Description: lncRNA (ENSNMEG00000000566.1)
Source: RNAcentral
CGGUACCACUACAACCGACACCGGUACCAGUAUCACCAGGACCAGGAGCACCGGUACCGGGCGGUGAGGGUACAUCCGGUACCGGGAGGUACCAGGAGGACCGUCACCCCCGGUACCACCGAUACCGGCAGGUCCAUCUCCACCGGUACCACCGCUACCGACGCCGGUACCGUCGGCACAUCCGGUCCCGCCAUUGCCGGUACCAUCGCUACCGGUACCGUCGGCGUCACCGGUACCGCCGUGACCAGCACCGCUGCUGCCAUCAUUGACGGUACCACCAGCACCGGUACCACCAGUCCCAUCAGCAACGGUGCCACCGGUACCGGUACCACCAGUACCACCAGUACCACCGGCACCACCGGUACCACCGGUCCCAUCAUUGACAGCCCUACCAGAACCAGCCCCACCGGUACCACCGGUCCCAUCAUUGACAACCCUACUGGAGUCAGUCCCACCGGUACCACCAGCCCCACCAUUGACAACCCCACCGGAACCAGCCCCAGAGGUUCCACUGGACCCACCAUUGACGGCACCAUCGGAACCAAGCC